AAAAAUCAAAAUUGUUCUUCAUCUGUGUUAAACAUAUUAAAAAAACAAAAAAACAAAAUUAUUCUUCAUCUGGGUUCAAAAACCCUCUCGUUCACGCCUCUGAAGGUUUCAGUAUUCUUCAUUUUCUUCCAAGGUAGUCAAAAACGCGUUUCAACUCGUGGAAACGCACGAUUUCACGUUUCUGCAUCCUCCUUCAGUCUCGGUUUUGCUUCUCGUCCAGGACCAAGCUUCUUCAUGUGGAAUCGCCGCGCAAAAACGCAGAGCCGCUGGAAUCGCGUUUCUGCCCCGAUGUUGCGUUCAAGAUUGAAGAUGCUCUUUUCUUGAUCCUGAGUGCAGCCCAGUCCAACCCAGUGGCCCAAUCUGAAUAGAAGACCAUGGAAGAUGGAGGAGCCCUAGCAGAUUAGCAUUUAAAUUUCGCGCGACCAAAAUCCCCAAUUUGGUGUGUCACAGCCUGCUGCCGUUGUUGUGGAAUUAGACUGGUGGUGGUUGAACUGUGUGAGGCUGUGAGCAUCAAUUUGCAAUUGUUUUGCGAAACUUUCUGACUCUGCCUCUGUGUCUGGUUCUCUGGCUCUCGCUCUCUAUUUCUGGAAUCUGGAUUGCUGCUGCUCUUCUCCUCCCCUUCACUGGUAGUUCAGGAAUGGCAUCAAAUCAAGCUAAUGCAAGUGAAAAUCCGAUUAACAUUCCAGCUUCUCAGUCAGGAAGUACAGCUGGAAUCGCUUGUAAAAAAAAGUUGCUAAGAAUGCUCUUGGAAGUAGAACUGAUGUAGGAUGGGAGCACGGGAUAUCUGUUGGAGAAGAUGGAAAGAAGAUACAAUGUAAAUACUGUCAUAAAAUUUUUUCAGGAGGAGUUUAUAGAUUGAAACACCACUUAGCAGGAACUCAAAAAGAUGUUGGGGCUUGUACAACUGUUAGUGAUGAAGUUAAGAAGCAAAUGUGGGAUGUUGUGAGUGGGUUACAAGUAAAUUUGAUGAAGAAAACAAACAUGGGUGGGGC
Molecule: non-coding RNA, 992 nt
Organism: Arachis ipaensis
Lineage: Eukaryota; Viridiplantae; Streptophyta; Magnoliopsida; Fabales; Fabaceae
Source: RefSeq, a predicted model, not a curated record